CAGAGGUGGCAAGCGUUGUUCGGAUUUAUUGGGCGUAAAGGGUCCGUAGGCGGUCCGGAAAGUUGGAUGUGAAAUCCUACAGCUUAACUGUAGAACUGCAUUCAAAACUUCCGGACUAGAGUAUGAGAGGGGUAAAGGGAAUUCCCGGUGUAAGGGUGAAAUCUGCAGAGAUCGGGAGGAACACCAGUCGCGAAGGCGCUUUACUGGCUCAUUACUGACGCUCAGGGACGAAAGCUAGGGUAGCAAACGGGAUUAGAUACCCCGGUAGUCCUAGCCAUAAACGAUGGUCACUAGGUGUUGGGGGGGUUAAACCCUUCGGUGCCGACGCUCACGCAUUAAGUGACCCGCCUGGGGAGUACGGUCGCAAGGCUG
Molecule: ribosomal RNA, 372 nt
Filed under: uncultured organism
Description: bacterial SSU rRNA
Rfam family: Bacterial small subunit ribosomal RNA
Source: RNAcentral